This 253-nucleotide ribosomal RNA is filed under the name uncultured bacterium. RNAcentral describes it as "partial 16S ribosomal RNA". It matches the Rfam family "Bacterial small subunit ribosomal RNA", at positions 524 to 776 of the family's 1533-position model. The record is from RNAcentral.
UACGAAGGGGGCUAGCGUUGUUCGGAAUUACUGGGCGUAAAGCGCACGUAGGCGGGUCGUUAAGUCAGGGGUGAAAUCCCGGAGCUCAACUCCGGAACUGCCUUUGAUACUGGCGAUCUUGAGAUCGGAAGAGGUGAGUGGAAUUCCCAGUGUAGAGGUGAAAUUCGUAGAUAUUCGCAAGAACACCAGUGGCGAAGGCGGCCAACUGGUCCGGUACUGACGCUGAGGUGCGAAAGCGUGGGGAGCAAACAGG